Molecule: non-coding RNA, 1648 nt
Organism: Rattus norvegicus (Norway rat)
Lineage: Eukaryota; Metazoa; Chordata; Mammalia; Rodentia; Muridae
Source: RefSeq, a predicted model, not a curated record
UAAAAGUGAUCGUUUGCUGUAUUAAGCAAUUCCUCUCAGUUCACUGCUGACGGGGCCUUUAGUGCUGGUGGCUCUCCACAGAGAUCUCUGGUCUGGCUAGGUGUGCGGAUUCAGGAAAAGGGGAGAGAAUUUGGACAGGGAGGGGCAUGGCUUUUCGCUGCCUCCACUGGUGCUGCUCCACCUCUGUUUCUAGCCUGGCUGAGCCAGCAGGAGACUGACUGGUGGGCGAGGGGUGCAGGAGAGCUUCUGGCAGCAAUUUCAGGAGAGAUCUUUUCCCCAAGCAGCAGUGUUACAGCUCUUAUGACAGAAGCUCUCAGACAAUGGAAUAAUUCUUGCACCUUUUAAGCCUUCUGAACAGGAUUCUUAAAAACAGUUUUUGGGACCGGUCAGGGUCUGAUAGCAGGUACUUCCUAUUGGUUUGGUCUGAGAGCUUGGGAAUACGUCAUAUACAUGUUUGGGGGCGUGGUCCUGCUUCUUUGUGACAGAUCUUUCUGUAGCCUAUGUAACCUGUGGUCAUGUUCUCCCCUGUGGAGGAGGGGCUUAGUGCGUUGCCCUAUGUGACUGAUCUGUCUCAAACUCUCUACAGGGGGUUGUGGAGGGCUGAGGGGCCUGACCUCCUAGAAGACUUGGAAUACUCCUGCCAUCCCUUUUAGUGUCUCCGCGGAUUGGACCUAUCUCAACCAGGAAUCAGGAAAAAGAGCUGGAAGAAACGAAGCAGCACAUAUUAAGACCAAUAGACUAGCCUAACUCUACAUGAACCCACGUCCUUCGGAUUACACGCCUAUUGCUCUUCCGCACGUACCUUUCACGUAUACAGUUUCGUAUAUCCCUACAGAUUCUCAUGAAGACCCUCUCAUGGAUAUUAAAACAUAGAGCUGGGUGCAGGGGUGCAAAGAGAACACAGCAGAUCAAACCAGAAGGAUUGGAACCCCAAGGCCAGAAUGGGCUAGAGAGGGAGUUGAAGGUUGGCUCAGUCAGCGAACAUAAGGAAUCCCUGCCUCUCGCCUUUGAAAAAGUAAACAACGGCUACAAAAGUGGGAGUCAGAGAGUCUAGUGAUGUGCAGUUCAGUGGUAGAGUCCUAUCCUCGUAUCAACUAAGCCUUAGGGGCAACAUGCAGCACAAGAAUACAAUAAACAAACACAUGCAUAAAGACGUAAACAAAUGAGAAUGGAAACACUGGAUUCUGGACUAUCUACAGCAUGAUGCAAAGAGAGGAGAGAGGAUGACUUUGAAAGGGAAAAGUCUGCUUGGCAGAAAACCUUCUGGCCAGCUAGUUCUCCGAAAGUCAGCCUGGAGGCAGGCGUCCCUAAAUAGGAUGGACUCUUCUGCCUCACCCCUCCUGGGAGUGGGGAGGAUGGUAAUUAGCACUUGAAAGCUGAGGCAGGCGCUAAAGUUGAUGGCCUCGCUGCAGGGAGCCUUUAAUAUAAAGUGCUGCCUUCAUUAGCGAUGCAGAGAAUAAGCUUCCCUGAUCUCUCUCAAGAUUGAAAAGGGAAAAUAUGCUUUGGAAAUCUACCUUUUUCUAAGUGACAGGGAGAAAGAAUUCCCUGGACAUCUGUCGGUUUAAUCGUACGUCAUGGACCUGCCCUGCAUACAGAAAGGAUUCACUUACAAAACGAUCUUCAUUAAAAAAAAAAAAAAGAAAGAAAA